UUCCAGACUCCUACGGGAGGCAGCAGUGGGGAAUAUUGCACAAUGGGGGAAACCCUGAUGCAGCGACGCCGCGUGAGUGAAGAAGUAUUUCGGUAUGUAAAGCUCUAUCAGCAGGGAAGAAGUUGACGGUACCUGACUAAGAAGCCCCGGCUAACUACGUGCCAGCAGCCGCGGUAAUACGUAGGGGGCAAGCGUUAUCCGGAUUUACUGGGUGUAAAGGGAGCGUAGACGGCGAUGCAAGUCAGAAGUGAAAGCCCGCGGCUCAACUGCGGGACUGCUUUUGAAACUGUAUAGCUUGAGUGCAGGAGAGGUAAGCGGAAUUCCUAGUGUAGCGGUGAAAUGCGUAGAUAUUAGGAGGAACACCAGUGGCGAAGGCGGCUUACUGGACUGUAACUGACGUUGAGGCUCGAAAGCGUGGGGAGCAAACAGGAUUAGAUACCCCUGUA
RNAcentral lists this ribosomal RNA (446 nucleotides) under uncultured bacterium. Its description in RNAcentral is "bacterial SSU rRNA". It matches the Rfam family "Bacterial small subunit ribosomal RNA", at positions 329 to 792 of the family's 1533-position model. The record is from RNAcentral.